Molecule: RNA transcript, 3910 nt
Organism: Balaenoptera ricei (Rice's whale)
Lineage: Eukaryota; Metazoa; Chordata; Mammalia; Artiodactyla; Balaenopteridae
Gene: ADAMTS2
Gene name: ADAM metallopeptidase with thrombospondin type 1 motif 2
Exons: 23
Source: RefSeq, a predicted model, not a curated record
UGGGCGGCGCGCGGGGAACUUUCGCGCCGGCUGCGAGUGCGGGGCCCCGGCUGCGGUCCGGCUGCCAUGGAUCCGCCGGCGGGAGCCGCUCGCCGCCUGCUCUGCCCCGCGCUGCUGCUGCUGCUACUGCUGCCGCUCCUGCUACCGCCGCUGCCCGCGGACGCCCGGCUCGCCGCCGCCGCCGACCCCCCAGGCUGGCCCCAGGGGCACGGCGCGGAGCGCAUCCUGGCGGUGCCGGUGCGCACUGACGCUCAGGGCCUCUUGGUGUCCCACGUGGUGUCGGCGGCGACGGCGCAGGCUGGGGUACGGGCCCGCAGGGCUGCCCCUGUCCAGAUCCCGGGUUUCUCUGGAGGCAGCGAGGAGGACCCUGGCGGCCGCCUCUUCUACAAUGUCACGGUCUUCGGCCGAGACCUGCACCUGCGGCUGCGGCCCAAUGCCCGCCUCGUGGCGCCCGGGGCCACGGUGGAGUGGCAGGGCGAGUCGGGCGCCACCCGCGUGGAGCCCCUGCUUGGGACCUGCCUCUACGUCGGAGACGUGGCCGGCCUGGCUGAAGCCUCCUCUGUGGCGCUCAGCAACUGCGACGGGCUGGCUGGCCUGAUCCGUAUGCAGGAGGAGGAGUUCUUUAUCGAGCCCCUGGAGAAGGGUCUGGCGGCAAACGAGGCUGAGCAGGGCCGUGUGCAUGUGGUGUAUCGCCGGCCGCCCACCUCCAGACCCCCUCCUCUGGGGGGGCCACAGGCCCUGGACACAGGGACCUCCCCGAGCGGCCUGGACAGCCUCAGCCGUGCCCUGGGCAUCCUGGAGGAGCGAGUCAACAGCUCCAGGCAGAGGGUGCGCAGGCAUGCUGCGGACGACGACUACAACAUCGAGGUCCUGCUGGGGGUGGACGACUCCGUGGUCCAGUUCCACGGGAAGGAGCAUGUGCAGAAGUACCUGCUCACCCUCAUGAACAUUGUCAAUGAAAUUUAUCACGAUGAGUCCUUGGGGGCCCACAUCAAUGUCGUCCUGGUGCGGAUAAUCCUGCUGAGCUACGGGAAGUCCCUGAGCCUCAUUGAGAUUGGGAACCCCUCUCAGAGUCUGGAGAACGUUUGCCGCUGGGCCUACCUCCAGCAGAAGCCAGACUCCGGCCACGAUGAGUACCACGAUCACGCCAUAUUCCUCACACGGCAGGACUUCGGGCCUUCAGGCAUGCAAGGCUAUGCUCCUGUCACUGGGAUGUGCCACCCUGUCCGCAGCUGCACCCUGAACCACGAGGACGGCUUCUCCUCAGCGUUCGUGGUGGCCCAUGAGACUGGCCACGUGCUGGGCAUGGAGCACGAUGGGCAGGGCAACCGCUGCGGUGACGAGGUGCAGUUGGGUAGCAUCAUGGCGCCCCUGGUGCAGGCAGCCUUCCACCGCUUCCACUGGUCCCGCUGCAGCCAGCAGGAGCUGAGCCGCUACCUGCACUCCUAUGACUGCCUGCGGGAUGACCCCUUCACCCACGACUGGCCAGCGCUGCCCCAGCUCCCGGGGCUGCACUACUCCAUGAACGAACAGUGCCGCUUUGACUUCGGCCUUGGCUACAUGAUGUGUACCGCGUUCCGGACCUUUGACCCUUGCAAGCAGCUGUGGUGCAGCCACCCUGACAACCCCUACUUUUGCAAGACGAAGAAGGGGCCUCCCCUGGAUGGGACCAUGUGUGCACCUGGCAAGCACUGCUUUAAAGGACACUGCAUCUGGCUGACACCUGACAUCCUCAAGCGAGAUGGCAACUGGGGUGCCUGGAGUCCCUUCGGCUCCUGCUCGCGUACCUGCGGCACAGGUGUGAAGUUCAGGACCCGUCAGUGCGACAACCCACACCCAGCCAAUGGGGGCCGCACCUGCUCAGGCCUUGCCUACGAUUUCCAGCUCUGCAACUCCCAGGACUGCCCUGACGCCCUGGCUGACUUCCGUGAGGAGCAGUGCCGGCAGUGGGACCUAUACUUCGAGCAUGGUGACGCCCAGCACCACUGGCUGCCCCACGAGCACCGGGAUGCCAAAGAGAGAUGCCACCUCUACUGUGAGUCCAAGGAGACUGGGGAGGUGGUGUCCAUGAAGCGCAUGGUGCACGAUGGGACGCGCUGUUCUUACAAGGACGCCUUCAGCCUCUGCGUGCGUGGGGACUGCAGGAAGGUGGGCUGUGACGGGGUGAUCGGCUCCAGCAAACAGGAGGACAAGUGUGGUGUGUGUGGAGGGGACAACUCCCACUGCAAGGUGGUCAAGGGCACAUUCACACGCUCGCCCAAGAAGCUCGGUUACAUCAAGAUGUUUGAGAUCCCGGCAGGAGCCAGACACCUGCUUAUCCAGGAGGCAGACACCACCAGCCACCACCUGGCCAUCAAGAACCUGGAGACAGGCAAGUUCAUUUUAAAUGAAGAGAAUGACGUGGAUCCCAACUCCAAAUCCUUCAUUGCCAUGGGUGUGGAGUGGGAGUACCGGGAUGAGGAUGGCCGGGAGACGCUGCAGACCAUGGGCCCCCUCCACGGGACCAUCACUGUCCUGGUCAUCCCGCAGGGGGACGCCCGCAUCUCGCUGACCUACAAAUACAUGAUCCAUGAGGACUCGCUCAAUGUGGAUGACAACAAUGUCCUGGAGGACAAUUCCGUGGGCUACGAGUGGGCCCUGAAGAAGUGGUCUCCCUGCUCCAAGCCCUGCGGUGGAGGGUCCCAGUUCACCAAGUAUGGCUGCCGCCGGAGGCUGGACCACAAGAUGGUGCACCGAGGCUUCUGCGACUCCCUCUCAAAGCCCAAAGCCAUCCGCCGGGCUUGCAACGCGCAGGAGUGCUCCCAGCCCGUGUGGGUCACGGGCGAGUGGGAGGCAUGCAGUCAGAGCUGUGGGCGGACGGGCAUGCAGGUUCGCUCCGUGCGCUGCGUUCAGCCGCUGCACAACAACACCACCCGCUCCGUGCACACCAAGCACUGCAAUGACGCCCGACCCGAGGGCCGCCGGGCCUGCAACCGUGAGCUCUGCCCCGGUCGGUGGCGGGCCGGACCCUGGUCCCAGUGUUCGGUAACCUGUGGCAACGGCACCCAGGAACGGCCGGUGCUCUGCCGAACCACGGACGACAGCUUCGGGGUCUGCCGGGAGGAGCGGCCCGAGACGGCCAGGAUCUGCAGGCUUGGCCCCUGUCCCCGAAACAUCUCAGAUCCUUCCAAGAAGAGCUACGUAGUUCAAUGGCUGUCCCGACCGGACCCCAACUCACCAGUCCAGAAGACCUCGUCAAAGGGCCGCUGCCAAGGUGACAAGUCAAUGUUCUGUAGGAUGGAAGUCUUGUCUCGCUAUUGCUCCAUCCCAGGCUACAAUAAGCUGUGCUGCAAGUCCUGUAACCUGCAAGACAACCUCACCAAUGUGGACGACAGGGCAGAACCACCCUCUGGGAAGCACAAUGACAUUGAAGAGCUCAUGCCCACCCUCCCAGUGCCCACUCUAGUCAUGGAGGUGCAGCCUCCGCCAAGCACACCCCUGGAGGUGCCUCUCAAUACUUCCAGCACCGGUGCCACCGAGGACCAUCCGGAAAUCAACGCUGUGGAUGUGCCCUACAAAAUCCAUGGCCUGGAGGAUGAAGUCCAGCCACCCAACCUAAUCCCUCGACGACCGAGCCCAUACGAAAAGACCAGGAACCAAAGAAUCCAAGAGCUCAUUGAUGAGAUGAGGAAGAAAGAGAUGCUCGGAAAGUUCUAAUAAAAUAGAAAGAUAGCAUCAAUAACAUUUUUUUUUUUCUUGCUUAUAGAGAUAUUCCAUGGGAUGGCAACUCCUGUGUUGUGGAGAUGAAGUCAGAUUCCUGAUUCCAAAAGUGGAAUGGCAUGGCAGAGCAGAGGCAAAGAGGUGUACAACCGGUUCUUAAGAUAUUAAGUCAUAAAGUCCAGGGCUUCCACAGCAUGACAACAACUUUCAG